This 25-nucleotide non-coding RNA is filed under the name Mus musculus (house mouse). The record is from RNAcentral. Lineage: Eukaryota; Metazoa; Chordata; Mammalia; Rodentia; Muridae.
UGGAAGCAAAGGUACCACUCUUAUA